RNAcentral lists this long non-coding RNA (2226 nucleotides) under Brassica napus (rape). RNAcentral describes it as "long non-coding RNA (BNAP_LNC013453)". The record is from RNAcentral. Lineage: Eukaryota; Viridiplantae; Streptophyta; Magnoliopsida; Brassicales; Brassicaceae.
UGGAGUUAGCAUUUAGUAAGAUCCAUGAGUCUAUAUUCUAAUGAACCACUGGAAAGCAUAAGAUAAACCAAACAAAUAGGACAAAAGUCAAUUUAUAAAGUGAAAGUACGUUAUCAACUUUUCUCUCCCGUCUUUCUGAUUUUACUCUCUGAAAUACCUCUGCAAAUUCAAAAUUUUCCCCCUUUUAGCUUUAACCACCGGAUACUCUAGUGCUCUGGUCUAUUAACCUCCGGGUUCGGCCUCCGACCCGGGUCGGUGGGCCGCCGUCAGCCAUGCCAUCAACGCCGGUAAGCUUCCCCACGGUGGUCUCUUUGAUUUCCGGUUUACGUUAACCUGUCUUGCUAUCUUCUCCCCUCAGUAGCAGUGAACCUUCAAGAGCUGUAGCUCUAAGACCUGUAUGGAAUCAAUCUCAACUUUCUAGAGUCAAUCUCUAAGAUCUUUCUCACUUUUUAAGUGUUGAACUGUUACUGGAAUAAUCUCUACCUAGAGUUAACUUCUAAGUUCUCUCUCACUGUUACGUACUGAAUCUUCUCCCUACAAGAAGUUUCAAUCGCAGUCUUCACUAUGUCUCGUCGUCUGACCUACUCUGAGAAAGGAAAAGGUCUAGCAACCCCUGAAUCUCCUCCCCGCCGUGGAAGAGUCAAACUACCAGACUAUGAUAUCUCAGAUCUGUUGAGAAAACACGAGCUCACCCUCAUAGGUAGGGUCACAAAUCUGAAAGCUCAGCGAUUAUGGUCUCUUAUCCCCUUCUUUGCUGACCAUUGGAAGUGCAAGGAAUGUUUCAAUUUCAAUUCGAGAACCCUGAAGACUUGGAAGCAGUACUAGACAACAGGCCAUAUCACUUUGCUAAAUGGAUGGUUAUCAUUCAAAAAUGGGAGCCUACAAUAUCACCUGAGUUCCCCUCACAGAUUCCCUUUUGGGUUCAAGUUCAAGGAGUACUUGUACCUCUAUGGAGUGAAAGUCUACUUCGUGGAGUUGGGGAAGACAUUGGUACCUUUGUGACCUGGGAAAUCACUGCAGCUAAAGCAAAACUCCGAGUCUUAAUCAACGGGUUAAGACCACUUAUUACCACAUCUACGAUUGAGUUUGCUAAUGGUGAUGAAGUAGUGGCUACCUUUGGUGUAUGAGAAGCUGGAGAAACAUUGUAAUUCAUGCUUUAGGCUGGACCAUGAGUGGGAUGAAUGCCCACAAAACCUGAAGAAUCGUAAAGAAGGACAUCACCAAAAAAGCCCCCUCUGCUAAAGAAAUGCAAGUACCUCGUCAGAGUUAUACGUCUACCGGUAAAUCUCUCACCAGUGGUGCUGAUCAUCGCCAAACCUCAGGUUUCAUGAGGGAUGCUAGAAGAUCUGGAACAGGAAGACACGUCCCUGCACCUAGAGCACAUCAAUCUGACAGAGCUUCUUUUGAAGAUGAUAGAAGAAACUAUAAAUACUCCUCCAGACCUUAUUUGGAGAGACCCUUGAACCACCAUAAAAAACCUAGAUGGGUAGACUCAGGGAGAAGACUCAAUUCAUCACAAUCCAUACAGGAUAGAAGAACCCCUGAGAAAGAGUAUAGAGCUCAAAUCAAUUCCCCUGGAAACAGAGCCUCUAUUCACCAGAAUUUUGAACCAUAUGAAACGGUACCUGCUACCUCUAGAAGUCGAGAGAAAACCACUAAUCUGAUGCAACAAGUACCUGCAAAUGUUAACAUUGAGGCUCUCAAUGAAGCCCGUGAAGAGAUCAGAGGAGUCAUGCAGCAGAACGUUAAUUGUGCCGAUCCCUCAGAAAGCGCUGCAAGGAAAGAGAGAGUUAGACUGGCUAACGAAAAAGGAGAAGAAGAAGAAGCUGCUAGAAAUCUGGCUCCAGCAAAUACAGCUCUGAUAGCUACCAUAUUAAUUGAGGAUGGAGUAAAUGAUAAUGCAAUGAAUGAGGAAGAGAGAAGGCACACUCCUACUCAUAAAAUCCCUGAGAGACCCUCUGCUCUCUCGCGUUUAAGGCCACCUACUUCUUCAAACUGUCCUCCAACUACCCAAGAAGUCAAAUUACCUGCAAAGAAGAGAUUGGGACGACCCCCACUCCCAAAAACAUUGCAAAACCUUUUGGGUAUUAAACCGGGAACCAGUUCAAAAAAAAAAGAAAGGUCAACCAGAUUCGCCUCUCACCUAGAAGAAGAUGUACUCCCUCAUCCUCAACCAGAGGUUCCGGUUCAAAAUCAUCAUCAGUUAAUCGCCGCUCAGCUCCUCAG